Molecule: long non-coding RNA, 548 nt
Organism: Schistocerca cancellata (South American locust)
Lineage: Eukaryota; Metazoa; Arthropoda; Insecta; Orthoptera; Acrididae
Exons: 5
Source: RefSeq, a predicted model, not a curated record
UUCACAGGCGACCAUCUUGUGCUCGGGUUGAUUCUAAACUUCACGCAGACGCACAGUGACCUACAACUGCUUGAAAAUAGCACAUAGAGAUGUGAUUUACGAGUGUACUGACAGUACCACGUGGUUCGACCGUGUCCUUGACAUUCGCUAGGUUUGUUACACAUACACUAAACUAUAAACAGAUACUUUUAGUUGUCAGCGAUUGCGUGUAAGGAAAGCGGACUCGUGUAGGAGUAAACUAACCGAAUGAAAAUAGCGCACAGGAGUGUGAGACGAGAACUUCCAGGGCAGGAGAAAAUACAGUCGAGAGGAACUUAAGAUUCCACCUGUAAGCAGAAUCGAGUAUGAAAGAAGAUUUGGCUGUCGGCUUCGCCGGAAGGCUCGUAGCGAACGUCAGCCACCGUUGAACGCUGUGGUUUUGUCUAAUCUUGGUCUGGAGGGAACCAUGAAUGUGUGCCGCGGCUGCCAGAACGCGCCCUAACCGUGGCGGAGUGAGCAGCGGGAUGGAGAAGGAGAGCGACGUGGAGCGCGGCGCCGACAAGUCCGCG